Molecule: small nucleolar RNA, 159 nt
Filed under: Calypte anna (Anna's hummingbird)
Lineage: Eukaryota; Metazoa; Chordata; Aves; Apodiformes; Trochilidae
Source: RNAcentral
GGUGCACACAGUUGGAGCUUGGAGCUGAGGCCAGUUUCUGGCCAAGGAACUCUCAAGUGUAGGAAGUGUGCUACAGUAACCUGGCAGGACUUUUCGCUGGCGCCAUGAGGGUCUCUGUGGCCCAAUGAGUGGAGUUUGAUAGUCGUUCCUGCCACAGCU